GAUGAACGCUGGCGGCGUGCCUAAUACAUGCAAGUCGAGCGAACAGAAGAGGAGCUUGCUCCUCUGACGUUAGCGGCGGACGGGUGAGUAACACGUGGAUAACCUACCUAUAAGACUGGGAUAACUUCGGGAAACCGGAGCUAAUACCGGAUAAUAUAUUGAACCGCAUGGUUCAAUAGUGAAAGACGGUUUUGCUGUCACUUAUAGAUGGAUCCGCGCCGCAUUAGCUAGUUGGUAAGGUAACGGCUUACCAAGGCAACGAUGCGAAGCCGACCUGAGAGGGUGAUCGGGCACACUGUAACUGAGACACGUUCCAGAUUCCGACGGGAGGCAGCAGUAGGGAAUCUUCCGCAAUGGGCGAAAGCCUGACGGUGCAACGCCGCGUGAGUGAUGAAGGUCUUCGGAUCGUAGAACUCUGUUAUUAGGGAAGAACAAAUGUGUAAGUAACUAUGCACGUCUUGACGGUACCUAAUCAGAAAGCCACGGCUAACUACGUG
Molecule: ribosomal RNA, 497 nt
Filed under: uncultured bacterium
Lineage: Bacteria
Description: partial 16S ribosomal RNA
Rfam family: Bacterial small subunit ribosomal RNA
Source: RNAcentral